CGGGGCGGGCAGGGCUGGGUGACCAGGGUCUGGCGGGGGCGCGUCUCUUCCCUGGGGUUGUGUUUCUGGGGCUGAAGGCCCCCCAGUGUGAAGGUGCUUCGAGCUGAUACUGAGGCCUUGUUUUGCUUUUGUGUUGGGGUGUUGGGGUGGUGGUGGUUCUAUCUCCCUCCAGAGCGGGGAGCAGCCCCUCCGCUCUCAGGCGCUCAGUCCAGCCCUCAGUCUGGACUCUCAGCGCCCCGGGGCAUUGUUCCUCCGUGCGUUCAGGAGGCCAUUGGACCCGCUGGCUUCUGAGGCUCAUUUCCUUACAUUUCCCCUGCAUGCACCCUAUGCGUUUUGUCCCCUGAUCACCCAGCCCGGUUAGCUCCAACCCGGGACAGAGUGCCCUGUCCAAACCCGGGCCACAGGAUGGUGGCGGAGGGAGACGGGAAAUGGGUUGGUAGGGUCCCUGGUCGAGGCCCAGGCCUCCCACUCGUGUCCUGGUGAGGGCGUGGGUUCGUGCGGUCUGUCGUUUAGAUCUCUUCAUUUGGCGGUCACAUUUGUCCGUGCAUAUUUUUGAACACCUGUCACGGACUUGUGAAGUUCUGUGUGCGGUUUACUUAAUAGUCAAGCAAGCAGCUUUUACCAGCCGUAAACUGGUAAACCUUGAACCUGUUUGGUUCUUCAGUGGUCUCCCUGAAUCUAAUUUUAAUUUUGGCACUUGAUGGAGUCGUCUGUUUUUCUUUAUAACUUCACGAAGUCCCUCUUUUCCUAGGCUGUUUCUUCUGCUUUGUUACUUACGGGCUUAACACAUGUUAACACUGCAGUCUAAACCGAAUUUGUAUUUGGACCGGUUCCAUGAGGAAGCAACACGUCUUUCCAAAUAACGUGGUUUUUCAGCUUCCCCAUUUGUUUUUCUACACUGCAGUCCAGUGUGAAAGCUGUCAGAGGUGUGUUUGGCCAUCCAGGCUAGGAUAGCACAGAUGAAGCCGGCUGCAGAGUUAAUAGGAAAUUUAUUUCUCCCGGGGACCUGGUGCGGUUGUGAAAUGUCAUCGUGACUCCCUCGGCAGUCUCCUGCUUUCUGAUUCACCGAGAAGCCUCGAUCUAGAAAAUUACAGACUACGAGACACUUUCCUGUUUGAAACGUUAUCAGUAAGAAUGAAGCAUCCCACUCUUGCCUGGAGAAUCUAAGUCCCUUUGAUCCAGAGAAGCACUCUAUCUGGAUUUCCAGCCCGGGCGCAGAACUUCAGAUUCGGAGUUCUGAACACGACAUUCCACGUUUAUCUUAACUUUGUGGUUUCCAAGGAGACAGGAGCCUGGAUCUAAUCUACUUCGUAGUCUGGACCUGAUGUUGCCCCUUUUAGACACAGCUCAGCUCAUUUUGAGUCUCUCAAAACACUUUCAUUUAAAUUUCACCCAAAUUCCACCCUUGCCCCAAAUCCUGCAACAAUUAUUUUUUGGUGGUGGUGGUGAGACACCCCUGCGAGUGCAAUCCUCCCCCCCCUCCCCCCCCCAAGCAGUGAGUCAAUAAACUUGGCUUUGUUGAACUACU
Long non-coding RNA from Lynx canadensis (Canada lynx), 1528 nucleotides. RefSeq lists it as uncharacterized. The record is from RefSeq and is a predicted model, not a curated record. NCBI's taxonomy places the organism in Eukaryota, Metazoa, Chordata, Mammalia, Carnivora, Felidae. The transcript has 2 exons.